GUUGCCUUUAAUAUUUUCUUUGUGUCAAUACUAAUGGUACAUUCUUGAAAUCUCAUGCAUAAGAAAAAUAAAAUAUACAACUUCCUCAUAAAUGUGUAGAAACAGUAAUGCUCUUCUACAAUACUAUUACAAUAACCCUGGUCAAAAAUAACAUUGUACUUUCAAGUUUGUCAGAAUCUUCAACUCAUUAUUGUUCUUGUUUUAGAAUUUACACAAGAAAUCUAUCUUUAGAUACUACCGGUUAACUUCAACAAAUUUAUUCUUAAAUCAAUGAGAACUAUUUCAAGACUUGGUCAGUAAGUGUUUUGUAUAUUCCUCUUCUUAUAUACACCAUCCAGAAACAAAAAUGGAAGCAAAAGCUAAAUUUAUUGUUUGAGAUUGUCACUAGAACAUAUUUAUAGAAAAACAAUACUACCAUGAAAUAUACAUUGCCUAGUUUAUAUAUUAACUAUUGAAAGAAUUAUUUCAAAAUUAAAUGUUUUGAAUAAGAAAAUUGUCAUUUAUUCCAAAUAAAUCUGAUAAAAGAAAUAUUGAACUCUCUUAGUUUUUAAUGUAACAACCUUUGGAUAACCUAUCUUGUUCAAUUUUACUAUAUUAUAAAUUUAAAAAUCAUUCUACCUUCAAUUCUCUAUCUUAUUAAUGAUAAUCAAUUAAAUUCACAAUAUUAGUUGUUAUUUUUAUAUAUGACUUAAAAUAUUUUGACAUUAAAAUAACCCAAUAGAAAAAAAGCUAGUUUAUUUGAUGUUUUCAAAGAAAUUUUUAUCAUUUCAAACUACCUAAUUGUCAAUCUAU
Molecule: long non-coding RNA, 792 nt
Filed under: Pan troglodytes (chimpanzee)
Lineage: Eukaryota; Metazoa; Chordata; Mammalia; Primates; Hominidae
Description: lincRNA
Source: RNAcentral